UGAAUUAGAGUUUUCGUCUUUUCCAGUUAUAUGCCCAGGAGUGGAAUUGCAGCAUCAUAUGGUAGCUCUAUUUUUAGUUUUUUAAGGACCAUCCAAACUGUUUUCCACAGUAUGGAAUUUACAUUCCCACCAACCACAUCCUUGCCAACAUUUGUUAUUUGUGUUCUUUUUAUGAUGGCCAUUCUGACAGGUGUGAGGUGAUACAUCAUUGUGGUUUUGAUUUGCACUUCCCUGAUGAUUAGUAGUGUUGAACAUCUUUUCCUGUGCCUGCUGGCCGUCUGCAUUUCCUCUUUGGAAAAAUGUCUAUUCAGGUCUGCUGCCCAUUUUUUAAUCAGGUUUUUUUUUUUGAUGUUGAGUUAUAUGAACUGUUUAUAUAUUUUGGAUAUUAACCCCUUAUCAGCCAUAUCAUUUGCAAAUAUUUUCUCCCAUUCAGUAGGUUGUCUUUUCAUUUUGUUUAUGGUUUCCUUUGCUAUGCAAAAGCUUUUAAGUUUAAUUAGGUCCUAUUUGUUUAUUUCUGGUUUUAUUUCCUUUGCUUUAGGAGACAGAUCCAAAAAAAAUACUGACAGAUUUCUUUAAUAGGUGGUGACAAUUUCACCGAAAAAAAUUUACCAAAUGUCUACCAAAAAAUAAUAAAUAUGUUAAAUUGUGUUUAGCAAUUAUGAAGUGGUUGAUACUAUAUUAUAUGAUUUUCCUGUGUCGAAAUAAGCAUGGUAUUUUAAAGCAAGGUAUUUGAAAAGUAUUUACUUACUUUGAGUAUUUGGGACUCUUUGAGGCAAAGAUAUGACCACAAGCAUUUGAUAUGAAAAAGAGAAGCUCAAAUGAUUCAAACUGUAAAGCUGGAGCAGAGCCAAAAUGAGCAAGCAAAGAAGGAAGGCACCUUUGAGGCUGCUACAUGGAGGAGGGAAACACCAGAGAAAAAGAUUUGCUUCAUGAAGAAAUGGUCUCACACUGAUGAGAAUCCGGAAAUUAAGCCAUCAGCCAGAUUAAUAGAAGCCUGGAGGUUCUCUGACGAGCAUGUGGAAUAACAAAGUCAGUUUUUAUUGUGGAAGUUAUCACUAUGGAGAUAGCGCUGGCAAGACUGCAGCAAACUGGGAGGAGUGAUUAAUUUCAGCAAGACUUGAAUCGAGGAAACCAGUCAAAGUCUGGAGCACAUCAUCUAAUGCAGUUCUGAGCACUGAAGGGAAAUCAUAUGGAAGAUUUCAACCUUGAAGUUAACUGCGAAGUUUGCUGCAGAUGGCGAACGUUUCAAAGGUAGAAACCAUUUUCUAAGUGAUCUGGCUAAAAGCACAUACACGAGUCCCUGGUACCACGUUUCCCAUCACAUGUUGCAGAGUUGCCGGCAAUAGGCCCUGCCUCUGGCUCCUGGGGACUUCAUUUCCCUAGAGAACUAUCUUGGUUACUCAACUUUAGACCUUGUAGGAAGAAUCACAGUUAUUUCUCUCUGGGGUCUUACUCAGAGCAAGCUACGUGGAAGUAAAUAGUCACUAAGGAGGAACAAGGAGAAAUAAACAAGCUUUCAGCCAAAUGUAUGAACAAUUCAUGUUUAAAAAAACUGGCCAGAUAUUUACAAAAAUUGUAAGUUAGGGACUGUACCACUACCCUGUUAUGACUCCUGUACAUUGUAAUCUACAUGAGACUAUGUAACCCUCCCGGCUUUUGCUGUU
Molecule: long non-coding RNA, 1664 nt
Organism: Balaenoptera acutorostrata (minke whale)
Lineage: Eukaryota; Metazoa; Chordata; Mammalia; Artiodactyla; Balaenopteridae
Exons: 3
Source: RefSeq, a predicted model, not a curated record